Non-coding RNA from Chiloscyllium plagiosum (whitespotted bambooshark), 581 nucleotides. The record is from RefSeq and is a predicted model, not a curated record. Lineage: Eukaryota; Metazoa; Chordata; Chondrichthyes; Orectolobiformes; Hemiscylliidae.
CUUGCUUUCACAUUGGUUUGGAAAUUCUUUGAACAAUCUCAAACAUUUGUGUGGCUUGGAAUUUUUUCCUGAAAGACUUGGCUUGGCCAUCUUGAAGAAAGCUAAUCUACAUAGUUACCCCAGGGCAAAUCCUCCAGAAAGACUUGAGAGGAGACCCACCUACAGGAGUGAUUUAAGUCUUCAGAGAAUCAGCUGUGGUUCAGAGGGUAGCAUUCUUGCCUUCCAAGUCAGAAGAUGGUGAAUCAAAUUAAAAUGGCUGACAUUGCAAAAGAAAAAUCAACAUUGAGGAAUGAUUUUUAAUGGCCCUAAAAAUGUUUGAAAUGGAAGUACAUUUAAGGAUAAGAAAACAGCAGUCAACAAGGAUGCAGAAUGGGAAGAUUCAGCUUGAUGGAACCUCGUAUCUGGGGAUUUGGCUAACGAACAGACUUCCUAAGAUGUACAACACUCUGUGAGAAACACAUUCUCUUUGCUACUGGGUGAUCCCUUAAUUUGUAACAGUGACCAGCAAUUCUAGAUCCUCAGGUAAAAGAAAACUCCGUCUCCACAUCCACUCUGUCAAGACUGUUAAGAUCUUAUACAUU